Molecule: ribosomal RNA, 573 nt
Filed under: Trichoderma hamatum
Lineage: Eukaryota; Fungi; Ascomycota; Sordariomycetes; Hypocreales; Hypocreaceae
Description: eukaryotic LSU rRNA
Rfam family: 5.8S ribosomal RNA (bases 184-337)
Source: RNAcentral
CCGAGUUUACAACUCCCAAACCCAAUGUGAACGUUACCAAACUGUUGCCUCGGCGCGGUCACGCCCCGGGUGCGUAAAAGCCCCGGAACCAGGCGCCCGCCGGAGGAACCAACCAAACUCUUUCUGUAGUCCCCUCGCGGACGUAUUUCUUACAGCUCUGAGCAAAAAUUCAAAAUGAAUCAAAACUUUCAACAACGGAUCUCUUGGUUCUGGCAUCGAUGAAGAACGCAGCGAAAUGCGAUAAGUAAUGUGAAUUGCAGAAUUCAGUGAAUCAUCGAAUCUUUGAACGCACAUUGCGCCCGCCAGUAUUCUGGCGGGCAUGCCUGUCCGAGCGUCAUUUCAACCCUCGAACCCCUCCGGGGGAUCGGCGUUGGGGAUCGGGACCCCUCACCGGGUGCCGGCCCUGAAAUACAGUGGCGGUCUCGCCGCAGCCUCUCCUGCGCAGUAGUUUGCACAACUCGCACCGGGAGCGCGGCGCGUCCACGUCCGUAAAACACCCAACUUCUGAAAUGUUGACCUCGGAUCAGGUAGGAAUACCCGCUGAACUUAAGCAUAUCAAUAGCCGGGAGGAAA